Molecule: ribosomal RNA, 305 nt
Filed under: uncultured bacterium
Lineage: Bacteria
Description: partial 16S ribosomal RNA
Rfam family: Bacterial small subunit ribosomal RNA
Source: RNAcentral
ACAGCAGCAGCCGCGGUAACACGAAGGGUGCAAGCGUUAAUCGGAAUUACUGGGCGUAAAGCGUGCGUAGGCGGUUUGUUAAGUCUGUUGUGAAAUCCCCGGGCUCAACCUGGGAAUGGCAAUGGAUACUGGCAAGCUAGAGUGUGUCAGAGGAUGGUGGAAUUCCCGGUGUAGCGGUGAAAUGCGUAGAGAUCGGGAGGAACAUCAGUGGCGAAGGCGGCCAUCUGGGACAACACUGACGCUGAGGCACGAAAGCGUGGGGAGCAAACAGGAUUAGAUACCCCUGUAGUCCCUGUCUCUUAUAC